UCCGGUCCCGCCCCGGAAGUCGCGGAGGCGGGCUGCGGAGCGUGCGCCGAAGUGUCGGGCCGGCCGGCUGGGGCUUGCGGAGAGCGGGUCAGGCUUCCCUGGCGCGCUUGAUGCCACCGCCUGGAGGACUCUCGCGGGGCGGCGGGGAACCGCGGUUGGCCGCGUUCUCCGGGCGCUCCCUGGCCUCGCCAUGCGCCUGAUGUCAGCUUCACCCCGCCGCCCCAGGCUGUGCAGCCUAAGACGACCCCGACGUCGCCCCCGCACCCCUCAGCGGCUACUUACCCCACGGAGAGCCACCGCUCCACCUGUUUCAGGUCUUACCGGAGAUUUCCCCAGACCACCCUGUCACUGCCCCAGACCACCCCUGUCACGUUCUCACUCUUCCCGAGCGGUCGUUCCCGAGAAGCUCGCCACAGCCCAUCCCAUCCCAUCACCCUUUCCCUGUAGAAUCUGCAGCAUGGUUGGUUGGUUGGUCUCCCUAGGCUGCACGUGUUUCCCAUAGGUCCAGGCGGCAGAGAUCUUGGCUGUCUUGCUCCUGUCCCCAGACCCCCGCACCUAGGAAAGUAGCACCUGGUGGAGUGGCAGCGUGUCCUUUAAAAGCAGCCCCAAGCAUGGCUUGGUAAUUGGGACCCAGAGCUGCAGUGCUUCAAAUGGUGUGGGUAAGACCACUUCCCCAUCCUUAAUCCUUACUUCCAGGAAGGCUAGGAUGGAGCCAUUACCUGGAAAUGGGCUCCGCAGUAGUCAUCAGGGAUAGGUAAUCCUGCCAUUUAGGUAGCAUGCAUUGUCUUUAGUUAUUAGUUAUUUUAAUUAUUUUAAUGUCAAACAUGUAGACUGAUGCCAGGUGCUGGCAAACAGCAGGCAAUGCAUGACUGAACCUUUUUUUUUUUUUUUUUUUGUGGUGGUGGGAAUUGAACCUAGGGCCUUAUGCAUGCAAGGAAAGCACUUUGCCAACUGAGUUACAUCCCCAGCCCCCAGAACUGAGCCUUUUCCAACUGUUAAUACUAAUUUGUUUUUCAGCAGUCAGCUCAAAUGUCAUUUAUCCAACUCUCCAGACUACAUCAACUUUUUGUCGUUUGGGCUUCCUGUACUUUUUUAUAACUCAUAAGUAUUUAUUUAUUUUAUGAAACCACUUAGGUCUGUUUUUGAAACUGGGUGGAUUGGGAUCUUUGGUGGAUUUGUUGUCAUUCCUGGAGUUUGUAGCACCUGCCAAUAAUAAAUGUGUUUGGAGUUAACUGAAUGAUAACGUUUUGAAUUGCAAAAGCUGAAUGAACACCUUAUGUUCACAUUAGUACCCAAGGCCGCUAUUGGAAAAACAAAACCCUCAAGAUUUCUCUCCAGGGUCACAUAUU
RNAcentral lists this long non-coding RNA (1349 nucleotides) under Marmota monax (woodchuck). Lineage: Eukaryota; Metazoa; Chordata; Mammalia; Rodentia; Sciuridae. The record is from RNAcentral.